GCUUCGCCGAGCAAGAAUACAUCCGGCAACGAGCAACGAAAGCCCUGAGAGCACACGACACUCCCUGGAUCAAACUUUUCACCUCGUGGCGCUGAUCGGAGUCCAGAAAGCUGACCAGAGAGAGAGAGAGAGAAAAAGAGAGAGAGAGAAAGACAGAGGGAAAGAUGCUAGGGGGUGCCCACGCUACCGCUCCUACGAGGAUCCUCACGCAGGAGGAAACUUUGGUCUCUCGGGUCAAAUGGCUCACUACUGCGCCUAGGCUUUGAUAAAGGGAACGGCUGAAGUGGGAUUUUUAUUAUACCGUACGGAACUUUUGUCCUACGGGCAAAGGACCAGAAAAAAAAGGGCCAGGAUAGAAUCAGAGAAAGAACCAGAGGAAGAUACGAAUAUCGCGGAGAAUUACCGUCGGGAUUUAACGCGUCGUGGUCCGCGACGCGUGAUGAAAUUUCUGGAGGAGGGAGAUACUAGAAGGAGGGAGGAAGAAGGAGAGGAGUUUCUCUCUCUCUCUCUCUCUCUCUCUCUCUUUUUCUCUUUCUCUUUCUACGCUCACAGAUAAGAUUAUUAGCUUCUUUUAUCGUAAAUCAUCUUUCUCUAUUUCUCCUCGAAGAUUCCAGAGAAAUAAAUUAUUAUGAAGAGUCAAAGAUGUACAUAUAUAUAGUAUAUACCUAAUUGUAUCUUUCUCGAAUGAUUUUUCUUACGAUCGUGUUCUCUUAUCCCUUUCCCGCUCUUUCUUCUUGUCUUCUUGAAUUAACAUUAACUGUAAAAAAUAAGAAAAAAAAAAGAAAAGAAAAAAAGAAAAAGAAGAAGAAAUAAGAAAAGA
Long non-coding RNA from Vespa crabro (European hornet), 820 nucleotides. RefSeq lists it as uncharacterized. The record is from RefSeq and is a predicted model, not a curated record. Lineage: Eukaryota; Metazoa; Arthropoda; Insecta; Hymenoptera; Vespidae. The transcript is spliced from 2 exons.